Long non-coding RNA from Haliotis rubra (blacklip abalone), 94 nucleotides. RefSeq lists it as uncharacterized. The transcript is spliced from 3 exons. The record is from RefSeq and is a predicted model, not a curated record. Lineage: Eukaryota; Metazoa; Mollusca; Gastropoda; Lepetellida; Haliotidae.
AGCGUUACCACCCGAUCCCGUUGGUCACUUCUUACGACAAGCAUGGUUUGCUGAAGACCCCUUCUUACCCGGAUCAUCACGGGUCCACAUCAAU